RNAcentral lists this ribosomal RNA (429 nucleotides) under Gemmatimonadota bacterium. RNAcentral describes it as "Gemmatimonadetes bacterium partial 16S ribosomal RNA". It matches the Rfam family "Bacterial small subunit ribosomal RNA", at positions 355 to 776 of the family's 1533-position model. The record is from RNAcentral. Lineage: Bacteria; Pseudomonadati; Gemmatimonadota.
UAGGGAAUCUUCGGCAAUGGACGAAAGUCUGACCGAGCAACGCCGCGUGAGUGAAGAAGGUUUUCGGAUCGUAAAACUCUGUUGUUAGAGAAGAACAAGGACGUUAGUAACUGAACGUCCCCUGACGGUAUCUAACCAGAAAGCCACGGCUAACUACGUGCCAGCAGCCGCGGUAAUACGUAGGUGGCAAGCGUUGUCCGGAUUUAUCGGGCGUAAAGCGAGCGCAGGCGGUUUCUUAAGUCUGAUGUGAAAGCCCCCGGCUCAACCGGGGAGGGUCAUUGGAAACUGGGAGACUUGAGUGCAGAAGAGGGGAGUGGAAUUCCAUGUGUAGCGGUGAAAUGCGUAGAUAUAUGGAGGAACACCAGUGGCGAAGGCGGCUCUCUGGUCUGUAACUGACGCUGAGGCUCGAAAGCGUGGGGAGCAAACAGG